CUUGCUCCUCUGACGUUAGCGGCGGACGGGUGAGUAACACGUGGAUAACCUACCUAUAAGACUGGGAUAACUUCGGGAAACCGGAGCUAAUACCGGAUAAUAUAUUGAACCGCAUGGUUCAAUAGUGAAAGACGGUUUUGCUGUCACUUAUAGAUGGAUCCGCGCCGCAUUAGCUAGUUGGUAAGGUAACGGCUUACCAAGGCGACGAUGCGUAGCCGACCUGAGAGGGUGAUCGGCCACACUGGAACUGAGACACGGUCCAGACUCCUACGGGAGGCAGCAGUAGGGAAUCUUCCGCAAUGGGCGAAAGCCUGACGGAGCAACGCCGCGUGAGUGAUGAAGGUCUUCGGAUCGUAAAACUCUGUUAUUAGGGAAGAACAAAUGUGUAAGUAACUAUGCACGUCUUGACGGCACCUAAUCAGAAAGCCACGGCUAACUACGUGCCAGCAGCCGCGGUAAUACGUAGGUGGCAAGCGUUAUCCGGAAUUAUUGGGCGUAAAGCGCGCGUAGGCGGUUUUUUAAGUCUGAUGUGAAAGCCCACGGCUCAACCGUGGAGGGUCAUUGGAAACUGGAAAACUUGAGUGCAGAAGAGGAAAGUGGAAUCCCAUGUGUAGCGGUGAAAUGCGCAGAGAUAUGGAGGAACACCAGUGGCGAAGGCGACUUUCUGGUCUGUAACUGACGCUGAUGUGCGAAAGCGUGGGGAUCAAACAGGAUUAGAUACCCUGGUAGUCCACGCCGUAAACGAUGAGUGCUAAGUGUUAGGGGGUUUCCGCCCCUUAGUGCUGCAGCUAACGCAUUA
Molecule: ribosomal RNA, 799 nt
Filed under: uncultured Staphylococcus sp.
Lineage: Bacteria; Bacillati; Bacillota; Bacilli; Caryophanales; Staphylococcaceae
Description: SSU rRNA
Rfam family: Bacterial small subunit ribosomal RNA
Source: RNAcentral